GUGUACAUUAAUAGCUACCCAGUGAAGGUGUACAUUAAUAACUGUCCCAGUGAAGGUGUACAUUAAUAACUGUCCCGGUGAAGGUGUACAUUAAUAACUGUCCCAGUGAAGGUGUACAUUAAUAACUGUCCCAGUGAAGGUGUAAAUAACUACCCAGUGAAGGUGUACAUUAAUAACUGUCCCAGUGAAGGUGUACAUUAAUAACUACCCAGUGAAGGUGUACAUUAAUAACUGUCCCGGUGAAGGUGUACAUUAAUAACUGUCCCGGUGAAGGUGUACAUUAAUAACUACCCAGUGAAGGUGUACAUUAAUAACUGUCCCAGUGAAGGUGUACAUUAAUAACGUCCCAGUGAACCGUGUCAUCCCUAUCCCACAUGACAAUUUUCAGAUCUUUCGGCCUCCUCCUGUAUUUUCCUCCUGCUGCGAGGGCCGUGGGUGUUUAUCAUACUAGCGCGCUCCAUCUCUAAGGCUCCGAGUGCGUUCCCAGAGGACGAGAGUGAGGAGAACGGCACACUCCCGUGUUACCUUUGACCUUUUAGAGGAAAUUGCGUCGUCAACAUGUUGGUUGCUCAUCUAUGCUUUUCCUGCAUCGCGACUA
Molecule: long non-coding RNA, 598 nt
Organism: Oncorhynchus tshawytscha (Chinook salmon)
Lineage: Eukaryota; Metazoa; Chordata; Actinopteri; Salmoniformes; Salmonidae
Source: Ensembl